GAUGAACGCUGGCGGCGUGCCUAAUACAUGCAAGUCGAGCGAACGGACGAGAAGCUUGCUUCUCUGAUGUUAGCGGCGGACGGGUGAGUAACACGUGGAUAACCUACCUAUAAGACUGGGAUAACUUCGGGAAACCGGAGCUAAUACCGGAUAAUAUUUUGAACCGCAUGGUUCAAAAGUGAAAGACGGUCUUGCUGUCACUUAUAGAUGGAUCCGCGCUGCAUUAGCUAGUUGGUAAGGUAACGGCUUACCAAGGCAACGAUGCAUAGCCCAACUGAGAGGGUGAUCCGCCACACUGGAACUGAAACACGGUCCAGACUCCUACGGGAGGCAGCAGUAGGGAAUCUUCCGCAAUGGGCGAAAGCCUGACGGAGCAACGCCGCGUGAGUGAUGAAGGUCUUCGGAUCGUAAAACUCUGUUAUUAGGGAAGAACAUAUGUGUAAGUAACUGUGCACAUCUUGACGGUACCUAAUCAGAAAGCCACGGCUAACUACGUGCCAGCAGCCGCGGUAAUACGUAGGUGGCAAGCGUUAUCCGGAAUUAUUGGGCGUAAAGCGCGCGUAGCGGUUUUUUAGUCUGAUGUGAAAGCCCACGGCUCAACCGUGGAGGGUCAUUGGAAACUGGAAAACUUGAGUGCAGAAGAGGAAAGUGGAAUUCCAUGUGUAGCGGUGAAAUGCGCAGAGAUAUGGAGGAACACCAGUGGCGAAGGCGACUUUCUGGUCUGUAACUGACGCUGAUGUGCGAAAGCGUGGGGAUCAAACAGGAUUAGAUACCCUGGUAGUCCACGCCGUAAACGAUGAGUGCUAAGUGUUAGGGGGUUUCCGCCCCUUAGUGCUGCAGCUAACGCACUAAGCACUCCGCCUGGGGAGUACGACCGCAAGGUUGAAACUCAAAGGAAUUGACGGGGACCCGCACAAGCGGUGGAGCAUGUGGUUUAAUUCGAAGCAACGCGAAGAACCUUACCAAAUCUUGACAUCCUUUGACAACUCUAGAGAUAGAGCCUUCCCCUUCGGGGGACAAAGUGACAGGUGGUGCAUGGUUGUCGUCAGCUCGUGUCGUGAGAUGUUGGGUUAAGUCCCGCAACGAGCGCAACCCUUAAGCUUAGUUGCCAUCAUUAAGUUGGGCACUCUAAGUUGACUGCCGGUGACAAACCGGAGGAAGGUGGGGAUGACGUCAAAUCAUCAUGCCCCUUAUGAUUUGGGCUACACACGUGCUACAAUGGACAAUACAAAGGGCAGCGAAACCGCGAGGUCAAGCAAAUCCCAUAAAGUUGUUCUCAGUUCGGAUUGUAGUCUGCAACUCGACUACAUGAAGCUGGAAUCGCUAGUAAUCGUAGAUCAGCAUGCUACGGUGAAUACGUUCCCGGGUCU
Molecule: ribosomal RNA, 1370 nt
Filed under: uncultured bacterium
Lineage: Bacteria
Description: bacterial SSU rRNA
Rfam family: Bacterial small subunit ribosomal RNA
Source: RNAcentral